AUGGGCUUAGAUGAUGGACCU
RNAcentral lists this non-coding RNA (21 nucleotides) under Arabidopsis thaliana (thale cress). Lineage: Eukaryota; Viridiplantae; Streptophyta; Magnoliopsida; Brassicales; Brassicaceae. The record is from RNAcentral.